GGACAAUUGGGGUGCACAUAGGGCCAAUGGACCCAAAAUCGGGUGUAGAAGGGUAUUUUCAUAAUUUUAAUCGAACGGGCUUUUUGUCCCAAGGGAAUUUCACGUGUUAUUCGGUAUGCCUUUGAGGAUGUUAGGCGCUAAAGCGAUGAGUAAUAAUAAAGUGUAUUUUGGUCCUAUCUAUUGUAAUAGACCGGAGGACAAAGGUCGGACUUACCUCGAGGAGGAGGUAUUCAGAGAUGAAAUAACUGUGAUAGGUGUCAGUGUUCGAGAAGAAGUCGCCUUUGAAGCAGAUCGAGUUGUGUCCGAGUUGCGAAAGGCAGUGCAAUCCCGAGGAUCACCCUCACGCCUCCACCUGGACCGGCUUGGUUUGGAAGUACGCUGGGGUAAAUUUGCAGAUCAUCUCAGGUUAGAACAUCACGAGAAAGGACGAGUAGUGGCUACAAAAUCACCAACAACAGGCAAGGAACUUACUAUCUCUCGAUUAAAUUGCAGCCCUUCUCUGGUAUAUCUGGAGAUCCCAGAAACGACUCUCGUGUUCUGAGCGAAGACCGCACCACCAAACCCAGGAACCCUAAUCGCCUCAGUGGAGUCCGCGAUCAGAAAUUAUAGCAAGCGGAACACUAAAAUGUUGGAAACUCGACACGAUUCGAGUCGAUUUUACCUGUUAAUCGGUGCCCGCCGAAAACCCAGUCCCUCAAGAAAACUAUCGAUGGGGUCCUUUGAAGCCGGUGGUUCGGAAGGAGCGAUUGCAGGUGCUCUUCGCGACGGCCUCAGGCGUACUGCUCAAUGGAUUCUCGAGAAAGAAGAUCCCUUGCUUCCUCCGCCGAUUCAAGCUGAAGCUCUCGCCCUGGUAAGAGGAUUCGAUGUGCUUCAGAUCGAGAAGUAGAGAGAACUUGUACUUGGGAGUCGGGCAACGCGGCUGUGUUGAGUCUCUCUGCGGGAGCAUAAUCACGUGCCAUAGUUAGGGGGGAGGCGCACUGAUUUUGGAUGCCGGCGCAUGAUCACGUGCCAUGGUUAGGUGGACGCCUGAACCCAGUUGGCUAAUUUUCAAAAGUGUAUCCGCGUCCCAUAACUUUAAGAUUGCAUUUGGCGAUUCGAAUAAAGUUCAAAUUAAAAUAAAAUGUAUCAUAUUCUACAUUUGGUAUAUACUCAAAAUAAGAUAAAAUCAACUACAAAUAAGAUAUAAAUCGGAUAAAAGUAUCUCAUUGGGAAAUGCGGAUAUGAUUUCUGAUAUUCAUAAUAAGAAAUUUUUUUCUCAAAUAACAAAUUUCUAAAAUUAAAAAAUUACAAUUAUAUUUCAGUAUAAAUAAUAUUUGAAUCUAGUAUAAAAAAUAAAAAAUUAAUUUUUUAAUUUAAUCUUAUUUUUAUUUAUAUAUUAGAAUUUAAUUCUAUCUUAUAAUAUAAAUUCAAUAUAUAAAUAUAUAUUAUUACAUAUUUUCAAUGUUUUAAUAUUUCAGGUAUAUUAGUAUAAUUUUCUAUUUAAUACAUUUUUAUUAGAGAGUGAUGGAAGGGGGAAGAGAGAAAUAAAAAAAUAAUUAAAAAAGAGAGGAAAAUAAAAGAAAAAUAAAAUAAAAUAAAGUAGACAAAAAUGUCACGAGAAACAACGAUUCCAAAAGAGAGAAUAAAAGACACCCUCCUUAGCUAUUCAGCAGCCACCCCACAUCCCCAGUAGACAAAAAGGGCCCGGAAGACACUAGUUCAGCCUAUUAUUUCAAUAAUAAAGCGAUGAAUCAAUAGAAACAACACGGUAGUAAGAGAUGAAAAAGUGAUUACCUUCUGCGAGCUAAGAUACGAAGAGAGGCGCGAGAUCGGCGAGAGAAUACCCUAAGCAAGCUUGGGCAGGAACUUUCAAGGGGGAAAAAGAACGGAGAAAGCGAGUGAGGACUGAUCAGUGGAUGAUAAUCUCAAAUUGUUCUGCAAGAGAGAGGCCGAAUGCGAAAGAUAAAGUGAGCAACGAGAGAGAGAGAGGGUGGGGAAGGGAGGGGGGGAUCAAUCAGUAGUAGACGACAGUCUCGAAUUAUUAUUGACCGACCGGUAGACGAUAGGCUGAUUGACUGGUAGCAAUAAAAAUUCUUUUCAGAUGGCAAGCAAAGUCAAGCCACACAAUUUAGACCACAGUACAGAAUGACCACUUCCAUUCAUAUCCACUUAAAAACCAUUUUGUUAAAUAGAUAAAUGUCGCUCUAACCGGCUUGUAAAUUUUCCAUUAUAUUAUUAUCAAAGACGUUUUUACUCCAGUAGGUGCUGCAUUUUCCUCCCACCAUAAAGAUGCAUAAAUCAUAUUAUCAAAUCCAUUGUAGGUCAAUAAUUUCCUACACUAUAUAUAUGUAAAAGUCAUGUCUUUGUUGUAAGCAAUAAAAUCUCAUGAAAAGCACAUCUUAUGACAAGUUUCUCUAAUUCAAUCCAUGAAGAUCAACUCCACCUAAAAAUUGUUCACAUAAUAAAUACGUGUUGACAAUUUUGAUCCAUAGCCUAUGAAAGGUUUUGUGCAUUAUUGAAGAGAAUAGACUAGCAUGAUCAAUAUUUAGAAAAAUAUUUUUAACUAUUUUCAAGAAAAAAAAAGAUUUAUUUUUGCAAAAACUGAAUAUUUUGGAUGUUUUAGCCCUUAAGUAAUUUUGGACAAUUGGGGUACACAUAGGGCUGAUGGACCCAUAAUCGGGUCUAGAAGGAUAUUUUGGUAAUUUUCAUUCUUGAGGGAGUUCAAUCAACCAUUAAAUUUUAGAAAACAACAUUAGGAUAAAUGCUUAGGCUAGCAUUCGAUUCCACUAGAUUCAACCAAUCUAACCAUACAUAACCCAUUAGUUUAAUGAGAAGAUUGUAGUAAGGAAAUUAGCAAUAUAUAUGCAAUGAUGAUUUUGGAAAAGUCGAAGGAACUUCACGAGUAAUGUUUUGGUCGCCUUAAAGCAUAUUUGGUGUUAUGCAAUGAGUAAUAAUCAAAUGUAUUUUUGUCCUGUCAAUUGUAAUAAACUAGAGAAUGAAGUUCAGGCUCACCUGGAGGAAUGAUGCAGAGAUGAAAUUCUUGUAAUGGGUUUUAGUAUUUGAGAAGAAGUUGCCUUGAACAAAUCAAGUUGUGUUCGAGUCCCAAAAGGCAGUACAAUUUGAGAUCACCUUCACACCUCAACUUGAAGCUGUCAAUACAAACAUAUCUCAGAACAAAAACGAGGAUCUCAGUGUUAUGGUGAUUGGUGUUUCUCCUCUUCAAGCACAAGCAUUUGGGACUUUAUAUAAAGUUGUACUUCUCUUGCCCCAGAGGAGACGCAAAAUCUUGAGGUGGAUGGCGUUUCUUGGACGAGGCAAUUGUACUUCUUUUGAUUGUUGCCUUUUUGACCAAGACCACCAAAAACAAUCCCUUCCUCGAAAUUGGCAAGACAACCCCCUAUAGACUUCACUUAUUAAUUCUUUUUGUUAUUGGAUUUUGCAGCCAAGCAAAUCAUAGUGGAUAUUAACUUUUUUACACGAUGCUAGUCCUUAACAGCCACGGAAUCAUCUCUUUUUCUUUCUUUUUUUUCUUUUUUUUUCUUUUUUUGUCAAACGAAAUUAUCUCCUUUACUUGGGAACUUUUGCAAGGUGUUCAUAUUGAAAAUUACUUCUUCUCUUGCCUCGAAAAGUGAGCGCAAUGUGCUAGGGACCCACACAAUCUUACCAUGGAUUUGCGUGUCCUCGAUGAGAAAAUUUACUAUUUUUAUUGACUAACCCCAACCUUUUGUUAGUUCUCUUUGUAAUUGAAUCACAUGGCCGCACAAAUCAAAGUGAAGAUGAACAACAUUUUGCUUUCCCUUCCUAUUGAAAUAAAAGCCUCUCACCGUUGGAGGCAUUGAAAUGGUCAAAAAUCUAUUUGUUAACUCAUAUUUAGUGACUUGAAUCAUAUAUGGAUUGGCUCAAAUUGAAAGAAUAGGUUGUUAUGAAUUUAAAGUAACAAGAUUUUAUUCAAUAUAUAAUAUAUUUUAAUGAGUUUGAAUCAUGUCUAUAUGCAAUUCAUGUUAAUUAAAAAAAAGAAGAUGAGAAAAGUAAUGAUCUUUUCAUUUGCUUUCACAUGGCUCUUCUUAGGGGAACUCGUGCUCGAGUGUGGUAUGCCUCGACACGUGGAGCCCAUUGUAUGUGGCGCGACAAUUGCAUGAGCUUUUUCUUUACUUGCCCAUUGCUUUAAUCAAUGAUUAAGUGACCCAUCAUUCAUUCCCUAUUCAUUAUCGAUUGUUUAAUCUAGUGGGACUCAUGUAGAACUUAUAUGGCUCCGGUCAUUUUAGUUUUCCAAAUGUAAUCUUUCCCACAAUAUCAUUUAACUCCACAUCUAGACGACGACGUCAAUUAGGGCCAAUUCAGCCAAAUCUCCUCUGUACUCUUAAGGACGUAAGGAAUUAGAUUGAUAUCGUGUGCUUAAUAUGCACACAAAAAAAUUUAUCUUAGGUAUUUAGGGAUCAAAGUUAUGGUGAAAAAUAAGGGAAUGAAAAAAGCUGGGAAAAAUUACCGAAAAAGUCCUAAACCAAUUGCAUUUGUGCUAAUUCAGUCCUAAACCUCCAAAUUUGAUCAAUUUAGUCCUAAAUCUUUUAAUAAUUUGUCAAUAUAGUCUAUCCGGCCAAUUUUGAUGGGUUUAGGUUGCUUUGGAUGGUGGUUUUUCUUGGUUAUUAGCCGAAUUGCAUCCUAAUGGGCGCUUAAAUGUCAAAAAUACUCUUCAUCAGCUUAUCACACCAUACGAUACAACUGUCACAUGAAAUAUCUGUUAUUCUACUGCAUCAUUUCUCUCUCUCUCUCUCUCUCUCUCUCUCUCUGCCCCCACCACCGUGAAUUAAUGUCACCAUCCUAUAGUCACUCGCCCAAACAACACCAACAUGCCAUCCACAACUUAGGCCCCAUCUCUCUCUCUCUCUCUCUCUCUCUCUCUCUCUUCUUUGUCACGGCUGAACUCAAAAUAGAGGCGUCUUGCUCAAAGCUGCAAUGACACUUGACUAGACCUAGCAUCACAUCUUAGUAAUUUUGGCAUGCAUUGAGCUAGACGCAGCAUUGGAUCUCUACUAGAUCUAAUGUCGAGCCCAACACUGCAAUGGGCUGUCAUUGAGGAUUCAUAACUCUAGGAUAAAUAUGUUGUUGCAACAUCAAGCGCAUCGCCAAAUUGGGUCAAUGGGAUAUUCUUUCACAUAACAUGAUCAUGCCAGUAUAUGCAUUUUGCAAAAGAAAUCUUUAUCACGAAAAAAAAAAUACUUUUUCAAAACUUCUAUAUCAAAUUUCCUAUGAAACCGAGUUAAUUACCUUUUAGAAAAUUGUCUGGUGAGGGAAAGCAAGUCAAAGUCUUCCACCAUCUUCCUUGCUCAGUUGCAAAGAAAGUGGUAAGGCAAAAGCUGACAAGACC
Molecule: long non-coding RNA, 5344 nt
Filed under: Eucalyptus grandis
Lineage: Eukaryota; Viridiplantae; Streptophyta; Magnoliopsida; Myrtales; Myrtaceae
Description: long non-coding RNA (EGRA_LNC000702)
Source: RNAcentral